CAGUCGCCGCGGUAAAACGAAGGGUGCAAGCGUUACUCGGAAUUACUGGGCGUAAAGCGUGCGUAGGUGGUGGUUUAAGUCCGUUGUGAAAGCCCUGGGCUCAACCUGGGAAUUGCAGUGGAUACUGGGUCACUAGAGUGUGGUAGAGGAUAGUGGAAUUUCCGGUGUAGCAGUGAAAUGCGUAGAGAUCGGAAGGAACAUCUGUGGCGAAGGCGACUAUCUGGGCCAACAGUGACACUGAGGCACGAAAGCGUGGGGAGCAAACAGGAUUAGAUACCCCGUAGUCCCUGUCUCUUAUACA
Molecule: ribosomal RNA, 301 nt
Filed under: uncultured bacterium
Lineage: Bacteria
Description: partial 16S ribosomal RNA
Rfam family: Bacterial small subunit ribosomal RNA
Source: RNAcentral